ACCUCUUUGGGGCAGAAGGCAGCGUGUCAGUCUCAUAAUCUGAAGGUCGUGAGUUUGAGCCUCACACAGGGCA
Danio rerio (zebrafish) is the source of this 73-nucleotide non-coding RNA. Lineage: Eukaryota; Metazoa; Chordata; Actinopteri; Cypriniformes; Danionidae. The record is from Rfam.